UAACGGCGCGCUUAAUGCAUGCAAGUCGAACGAUGAGGUCUCUACGGGGGUACAUCAGUGGCAGACGGGUGAGUAACACGUAGGUAACCUGCCCUCGAGACGGGGAUAACGGGUGGAGGCGGUCGCUAAGACCCGAUAUAGUCUGACCUUCGGGAGAAGGUGAGAGGAAAGGCUUCGGUGCUCGGGGAGGGGCCUGCGGCCCAUCAGCUAGUUGGAGAGGUAACGGCUCCCCAAGGCAAUGACGGGUAGGGGGUGUGAGAGCAUGGACCCCCACACUGGGACUGAGACACGGCCCAGACUCCUACGGGAGGCAGCAGCAGGGAAUAUUGCGCAAUGGACGGAAGUCUGACGCAGCGACGCCGCGUGGAUGAUGAAGGCCUUCGGGUUGUAAAAUCCUUUAUCCGGGCGAUGAGACAGGACAACUAGCCUGGGAAUACGCGUCGGGUAGCUACGUGCCAGAAGCCCGCGGUAAGACGUAGGACGCGAGCGUUAUCCGGAUAUACUGGGCGUAAAGCGCCUGCAGGCGGAACAGGUAAGUCGGAUGUGAAAGCCCAGUGC
RNAcentral lists this ribosomal RNA (558 nucleotides) under uncultured organism. RNAcentral's name for it is "bacterial SSU rRNA". It matches the Rfam family "Bacterial small subunit ribosomal RNA", at positions 37 to 608 of the family's 1533-position model. The record is from RNAcentral.